RNAcentral lists this transfer RNA (73 nucleotides) under Paramuricea clavata. It matches the Rfam family "tRNA". From Rfam's summary of the family: Transfer RNA (tRNA) molecules are approximately 80 nucleotides in length. Their secondary structure includes four short double-helical elements and three loops (D, anti-codon, and T loops). Lineage: Eukaryota; Metazoa; Cnidaria; Anthozoa; Malacalcyonacea; Plexauridae. The record is from Rfam by way of RNAcentral.
GACCGCGUAGCUCAGUUGGCAGGGCAUUGGGCUAGCAUUCCAAAGGUCGUAGGUUCGAUUCCCACCGUGGACA